AUUGAACGCUGGCGGAAUGCUUUACACAUGCAAGUCGAACGGCAGCACGGACUUCGGUCUGGUGGCGAGUGGCGAACGGGUGAGUAAUGUAUCGGAACGUGCCCAGUCGUGGGGGAUAACGUAGUGAAAAUUACGCUAAUACCGCAUACGAUCUAUGGAUGAAAGCGGGGGAUAGCAAGACCUCGCGCGAUUGGAGCGGCCGAUAUCAGAUUAGGUAGUUGGUGGGGUAAAGGCCCACCAAGCCAACGAUCUGUAGCUGGUCUGAGAGGACGACCAGCCACACUGGAACUGAGACACGGUCCAGACUCCUACGGGAGGCAGCAGUGGGGAAUUUUGGACAAUGGGCGCAAGCCUGAUCCAGCCAUUCCGCGUGCAGGAUGAAGGCCCUCGGGUUGUAAACUGCUUUUGUACAGAACGAAAAGGUUUCUACUAAUACUAGGAGCUCAUGACGGUACUGUAAGAAUAAGCACCGGCUAACUACGUG
RNAcentral lists this ribosomal RNA (484 nucleotides) under uncultured bacterium. RNAcentral describes it as "bacterial SSU rRNA". It matches the Rfam family "Bacterial small subunit ribosomal RNA", at positions 30 to 507 of the family's 1533-position model. The record is from RNAcentral.